UACGUAGGCAGCGAGCGUUGUUCGGAAUUACUGGGCGUAAAGAGUGUGUAGGCGGUGCUCUAAGUUCGGUGUGAAAUCUCCUGCUUAACUGGGAGGGUGCGCCGGGAAACUGGAGUGCUCGAGCGUGGGAGAGGAAAGCGGAAGUUCCUGGUGUAGCGGUGAAAUGCGUAGAUAUCAGGAGGAACACCUGUGGUGUAGACGGCUUUCUGGACCAUAGCUGACGCUGAGACACGAAAGCGUGGGUAGCAAACAGG
This 254-nucleotide ribosomal RNA is filed under the name uncultured bacterium. RNAcentral describes it as "partial 16S ribosomal RNA". It matches the Rfam family "Bacterial small subunit ribosomal RNA", at positions 524 to 776 of the family's 1533-position model. The record is from RNAcentral.